RNAcentral lists this ribosomal RNA (465 nucleotides) under uncultured bacterium. RNAcentral describes it as "partial 16S ribosomal RNA". It matches the Rfam family "Bacterial small subunit ribosomal RNA", at positions 338 to 795 of the family's 1533-position model. The record is from RNAcentral.
CCUACGGGUGGCAGCAGUAGGGAAUCUUCCACAAUGGACGAAAGUCUGAUGGAGCAACGCCGCGUGAGUGAAGAAGGGUUUCGGCUCGUAAAGCUCUGUUGGUAGUGAAGAAAGAUAGAGGUAGUAACUGGCCUUUAUUUGACGGUAAUUACUUAGAAAGUCACGGCUAACUACGUGCCAGCAGCCGCGGUAAUACGUAGGUGGCAAGCGUUGUCCGGAUUUAUUGGGCGUAAAGCGAGUGCAGGCGGUUCAAUAAGUCUGAUGGGAAAGCCUUCGGCUCAACCGGGGAAUUGCAUCAGAAACUGUUGAACUUGAGUGCAGAAGAGGAGAGUGGAACUCCAUGUGUAGCGGUGGAAUGCGUAGAGAUUAGGAGGAACACCAGUGGCGAAGGCGGCUUACUGGACUGUAACUGACGUUGAGGCUCGAAAGCGUGGGGAGCAAACAGGAUUAGAUACCCGAGUAGUC